This 496-nucleotide ribosomal RNA is filed under the name uncultured bacterium. RNAcentral's name for it is "partial 16S ribosomal RNA". It matches the Rfam family "Bacterial small subunit ribosomal RNA", at positions 28 to 507 of the family's 1533-position model. The record is from RNAcentral.
GAUGAACGCUGGCGGCGUGCCUAAUACAUGCAAGUCGAGCGAACGGACGAGAAGCUUGCUUCUCUGAUGUUAGCGGCGGACGGGUGAGUAACACGUGGAUAACCUACCUAUAAGACUGGGAUAACUUCGGGAAACCGGAGCUAAUACCGGAUAAUAUUUUGAACCGCAUGGUUCAAAAGUGAAAGAGGUCUUGCCGUUACCUAUAGGUGGAUCCGCGCUGCAUUAGCUAGUUGGUAAGGUAACGGCUUACCAAGGCAACGAUGCAUAGCCGACCUGAGAGGGUGAUCGGCCACACUGGAACUGAGACACGGUCCAGACUCCUACGGGAGGCAGCAGUAGGGAAUCUUCCGCAAUGGGCGAAAGCCUGACGGAGCAACGCCGCGUGAGUGAUGAAGGUCUUCGGAUCGUAAAACUCUGUUAUUAGGGAAGAACAUAUGUGUAAGUAACUGUGCACAUCUUGACGGUACCUAAUCAGAAAGCCACGGCUAACUACGUG